Molecule: ribosomal RNA, 494 nt
Filed under: uncultured bacterium
Lineage: Bacteria
Description: partial 16S ribosomal RNA
Rfam family: Bacterial small subunit ribosomal RNA
Source: RNAcentral
GACGAACGCUGGCGGCGCGCUUAACACAUGCAAGUCGAACGGAAAGGCCUGCUUUCCCUUGUGGAUUGCGGGUACUCGAGUGGCGGACGGGUGAGUAACACGUGAGUGAUCUGCCCCCAACUUGGGUAUAAGCCUGGGAAACUGGGUCUAAUUCCCGAUAGGACUGCAGGGUGGUGCCUGUGGUGGAAAACGAUUUUCUAGUGGUUGGGGAUGAGCUCGCGGCCUAUCAGCUUGUUGGUGGGGUAAUGGCCUACCAAGGCGGCGACGGGUAGCCGGCCUGAGAGGGUGGACGGGCACAUUGAGACUGAGAUACGGCCCAGACUCCUACGGGAGGCAGCAGUGGGGAAUAUUGCACAAUGGGCGGAAGCCUGAUGCAGCGACGCCGCGUGGGGGAUGACGGCCUUCGGGUUGUAAACUCCUUUCGACCGCGAGGAAGCCACCUGGUUGGAAGGGUGGUGACGGUAGUGGUAGAAGAAGCACCGGCUAACUACGUG